UACGGGGGGUGCAAGCGUUGUUCGGAAUCACUGGGCGUAAAGGGCGCGCAGGCGGCCUGAUUAGUCAGAUGUGAAAGCCCACGGCUUAACUGUGGAAGUGCAUUUGAAACUGUCAGGCUUGAGUACCAGAGGGGAAAGUGGAAUUCCCGGUGUAGAGGUGAAAUUCGUAGAUAUCGGGAGGAAUACCGGUGGCGAAGGCGACUUUCUGGCUGGAUACUGACGCUGAGGCGCGAAAGCGUGGGGAGCAAACAGG
Molecule: ribosomal RNA, 253 nt
Filed under: uncultured bacterium
Lineage: Bacteria
Description: partial 16S ribosomal RNA
Rfam family: Bacterial small subunit ribosomal RNA
Source: RNAcentral